This 504-nucleotide ribosomal RNA is filed under the name uncultured bacterium. RNAcentral's name for it is "partial 16S ribosomal RNA". It matches the Rfam family "Bacterial small subunit ribosomal RNA", at positions 29 to 523 of the family's 1533-position model. The record is from RNAcentral.
AUUGAACGCUGGCGGCAGGCCUAACACGUGCAAGUCGGACGGUAGCACAGAGAGCUUGCUCUCGGGUGACGAGUGGCGGACGGGUGAGUAAUGUCUGGGGAUCUGCCCGAUAGAGGGGGAUAACCACUGGAAACGGUGGCUAAUACCGCAUAACGUCGCAAGACCAAAGAGGGGGACCUUCGGGCCUCUCACUAUCGGAUGAACCCAGAUGGGAUUAGCUAGUAGGCGGGGUAAUGGCCCACCUAGGCGACGAUCCCUAGCUGGUCUGAGAGGAUGACCAGCCACACUGGAACUGAGACACGGUCCAGACUCCUACGGGAGGCAGCAGUGGGGAAUAUUGCACAAUGGGCGCAAGCCUGAUGCAGCCAUGCCGCGUGUAUGAAGAAGGCCUUCGGGUUGUAAAGUACUUUCAGCGGGGAGGAAGGCGGUGCGGUUAAUAACCGUGCCGAUUGACGUUACCCGCAGAAGAAGCACCGGCUAACUCCGUGCCAGCCGCCGCCGUAA